GACGAACGCUGGCGGCGUGCUUAACACAUGCAAGUCGAACGGAAAGGCCCUGCUUUUGUUGGGUUCUCGAGUGGCGAACGGGUGAGUAACACGUGAGUAACCUGCCCUUGACUUUGGGAUAACUUCAGGAAACUGGGGCUAAUACCGGAUAGGAGCUCCUGCUGCAUGGUGGGGGUUGGAAAGUUUCGGCGGUUGGGGAUGGACUCGCGGCUUAUCAGCUUGUUGGUGGGGUAGUGGCUUACCAAGGCUUUGACGGGUAGCCGGCCUGAGAGGGUGACCGGCCACAUUGGGCCUGAGAUACGGCCCAGACUCCUACGGGAGGCAGCAGUGGGGAAUAUUGCACAAUGGGCGGAAGCCUGAUGCAGCAACGCCGCGUGCGGGAUGACGGCUUUCGGGUUGUAAACCGCUUUCGCCUGUGACGAAGCGUGAGUGACGGUAAUGGGUAAAGAAGCACCGGCUAACUACGUG
RNAcentral lists this ribosomal RNA (468 nucleotides) under uncultured bacterium. Its description in RNAcentral is "partial 16S ribosomal RNA". It matches the Rfam family "Bacterial small subunit ribosomal RNA", at positions 28 to 507 of the family's 1533-position model. The record is from RNAcentral.